CCGGCGCCCGGCAGUCGUGCCACAGGCGAGCAGGGCCCCGGCGGCCGCCCCUGCCCCCCAGUAACGCCUCGGCGCCCUUCGGGCUCGGCCUCCGGCGGGCCUGGCCGUUACAAAAACAAUAAUAAUAAAUAAAACACCUCGAGCUCCAAACCAGCUCGGGAAGCCAAAAGGCCCGCCCGGAGGCCAGCCCGGCGCGCCCGCACCCCGACCCGCGCGCGCGAGGCCCGGCCGCCGGGUCUCCCGGCCGCCGGCCCGCGCCCCGCGCCGCAUGGAGCCCGGCGCCCGCAUUAGGAGCCCCGCGCUCGGCGCCGGCCGCGCCAUGGGGGAGGGGAGGGGCGGGCCGCGCGAGACCCGGGAAACAUGGCUGCUUGUCCUAUUUCGGCGUCGCGGCGUGGCCACCAGCCCCCGGAUCAGAGUUGGGAGAGGCUCCGAAGAGGCUCCCGCGCCGGCGGAAUUCAAUCAAUAAACCCCGAACCCACGGCCGCGCGUUUUAGGACUUUGAAGGCUCAACCAGCUCCGCUCGGUUCUCGAGCCCCCAGCACCCGCGGCGCACACUAACCUGAUCACCGUGGAGGCGGGAUUGGCAGCCCGGAAGAGUGGCAGCAGCCUUAGCCAAUCGCCGCCGAGGGUCUCCGGGCAACAGCGAAUGGUGGCGGAGGCGGGGGGGGAAGGGGCCAAUGGGCGGGCUGCGCAGCCGGCCAGGGAGGCUCAGCCAUUUGGUUGUGGUGCCGGAGACGGACCCCUUUAGAUUUCGGGGCGGCUGAGGAGCGCGGCGGCAGCUCGGCGGCUGAGCGAGGGGGGUGGGCGGAAUGUAGGGGGAAGGGAAGGCGACUGUGCCUGGAGGGCCGAGCCGCCCGGCCUCGCCAGCCCGCCGCCGCCUCAGCGUUUGGCCGGGGGCGGGGCCGCAGGUGCGUUAUACGAAAGGGAGGGGCGCGGCCGGAGGGGCCGGGGGUCGGGGUCCUCGCCGGGCCAUGGGCUUCGUGGGGUUGCCCCGGGCCUGACCGCGCCGCACGACCGGGUUGUGGAAAGAGGCAGACGGCGAGAGGUCUGGGGGCCGCGGACUGCCGGGCGGGUGGAUGAAAGGCCUGGAAAGAGGGGAGGGGUCAAGGGUGCGGUGGGAGGAGGGGCUGGUCAUUUUCUGGGUCCAGCGGGCAGAGCUAGUGGAGCGUGGCUGCUGCCCCCCAUCUCCUCUGCGGGUUCCCACCCCCGGGCUGCGGCUCACAGCCCGCGCGCCCUUUCGCCUCCCGCCUCGUCGUAGUCCAGCCGUGGCCAUCGCAGCCCCUUGAAUACAUAAGUAAAUAAAAAGCAAGAUGCGUCCACUUCUGGAUGACUUACCUUGCGGUCUCGACUCUCCCCAGGGAGAGGCAUUUCAGUUUGCAUGUCAGCUUGGAAGGAGUGAUCACCAAGAGGCACCCGGGGUUUUGUUUAAUCAAUAAAUGAGUGAAGACCAUGGA
Molecule: long non-coding RNA, 1454 nt
Organism: Balaenoptera acutorostrata (minke whale)
Lineage: Eukaryota; Metazoa; Chordata; Mammalia; Artiodactyla; Balaenopteridae
Exons: 2
Source: RefSeq, a predicted model, not a curated record